UUUUUUUUUUUAAGAACGAAAAAUUGUGAUUCUAUUUUAAGACAUGUCAGGCUGAAGCGAUACGCGAUAUAUAUUUCUAUUCGGAUUUCACCGUCGUCGUAAUCGAUGCUAUUGGAAACGUUUCACAAUAGACGUCUUACAAGCGCUUGCAAUGUCCGUCAUGUGUAAGGCUCUACCACUGAAUCGCGGCUGCCAUUUAGUGAUUAAGGUCGAUCACUUAGAGACGUUAAUCCGCCAUAAUGGUGAGCAAUACAUCGAAGCCAUUAUUGAAAGCAUAGUUACGCUUUAAUUUCAUCGAUCUUAUUCACAAAUAGAAGUGUACAAAUUAUAGGAUUUCCAAAUAUUUAGUUUAGUUAAAAGGAGAUAUGAAAAUGACAGGUAUAUUCAAAGGAUAAAACAGAACCGUACGAUUGUAAAGUUUCAAAUCAUUAUAACUAUUUAAAUUUGAAAAAUCUUACUAUAUUUAUACAAUAUAUUUUUAUUAAGAAUGGAAGAAAUUUCGAAAAAUCCGCCAACACUUUUUACUGUCGUCUUGAAGCACACCAUAUGUUAAGCUUCUUCGUCGUUACAAAUUUUAUCGCGGAUGUAACGAACGUUUCGAACAUGUAGCACGCACGCGUCAACGCCUACAUUUGGAUUUUAAAUAUAUGUUUUAUGCAUUAAAUGUAUUUGUACUUUCUUGCGCAAUUUCUUUUAAUUUGUUACGAUAUGGAGGGUUUAAUUACGUUUAAGAUAUCUAUCUGAAUCCUUUAAAUUCAAUGUUCUUUAAAACAUUACAUUACGUAAAAUAAUCGUUUUUCCACUUUAUUGUAUCAUAAAAUAGUUACUUAAAUUCAUAUUACUUAAAGAAUCUUCCUACAGAAAGAAUAAAAAAGAAUAAAAUCCUAUAUGUUAAAUUUUACGUGGUUGAUGGAAUACAUAGCGAUGACGAGAACUAACUACAGACAACAAGAAACUAUUAGCGAAGGCAACUGGUGACUAUGAAUGUCGUCUCUAUAAUAUGUGGCGACUAAGGAGAACAACUACCAACUACGGAUAACAAGUAACAACCAACUGUCUCGUUUCUAAGGGGCAACUAACUUGCAAUUAUCCUCCUUUGAUGGUUCCUGUAGCGUGAUAUACGUCUUGAACGUAGUUAAAGAAUAUGGUCGCUGCUGAAUGGCGAUUUGACAGCAAGGCGAUCCCGCCAGUUCAAAGCUUGACAUUGCAAGCUACCGAAAACCAUUAAUCUUGUUAUCGAAUAUCUAGCUUUCAGAAGAACCCUUGUGAUAUGAUAUGACGUCAUGACAUUUUUAUGACGAAGAUGAACAAACACCGACCUCUAACCAAACAAAUUUUUAUUAAGUGCCGUAUGUGGGUUGCAGGCCGGCCAACCAAGGAAAUUUAUCGAAUGUAUAAAGUAAAAUAUAUACGAAUAUAUUGGAUAUAUCAUAAAAUGCCCGCGUUAUAUCGUCUAACAGCAUAAAGAAAGCUAAAUUUAAGGAAUUAAAAAAUUGAAAUACCAAUUAUAAGAGAGUUAAUUAAAUUCAAACCUAUCGAUGGUCUCAUAAAGACCUAUAUUUCCUGGAAAUUGAUAUCUUUCGAAUUCUAAAUUCUCCUUAGAAAGUAUCAUAGAGAAAAUAUGAAACUUGAAAAGUACAUCACGCUGAUGCCUCGAUAAACCGUCGUGUCGAUAAAUCCAUGUGUCCGAGCGAUGAAUUUUCCCCAAACAACAAAAAACUGAAGGGAAAUCUUCUUUGAAGGACGUGACAAGGUAGGGGAAGCGGGAACAAUGAUCACGCGAUAAACUGAUGGUGUACGUAUAGAACGUGUACGUAUAGAACGUUGCGAGAGAAUUAUCGAGAAACAAAAAAAGAAAAAAUAAUCGUUGGCCGGCGCGACUAUACGCUGUCGACGGGCAAACAGCGACUGAGACUAACUGAAACGAACUCUGUCGCAGUAUGAGCACGGGCUGCGUUCGCGGGUCGAUCGAACACGUUCUGCGCCUCUCCUCGGCACCGACGUCAAAGCCACCCCCGAUGGCUGCAACGCACUGGUGCACUUGGUGGUCCUUCCUUUUUCGUGUGAUAUUAUACCAGCAUCUGUGAUGCCAUUUCAAAGACCGCAAUCAAAGCAUUAAAUGCCAGAUUAAAGCGACGCGAUAAUAUUACCCCAAUAUUCGUCCGUAAAUGUUACCGUAUAGAUGUUUAAUUAAGCAUUAUUAUGCUUCGAAUAAUUUACUAUCACAUGUUCCACAAGAAAACAUAUGUUUCACUUUUCCCCGUGGCGUAAAAUGUCAAAUUAAAAGUACCAAAUUAAAAACAUAUGGUAUCCCGAAACCAAACGUACGACAUGGCGAAUCACGAUGAUACGAUAAAAAUUGAUCUAUGUCUUGAUUUAUUCAAACAGAACGAACUUACUCGAACUUUUCCAGAAUAAACGAUUUAUCCGAUAAUAUCCGUCACCAGCUUCUCUUCCUUCAACGGUAACAACUGACACCGAAAGCUCGAGAGACCCGAACGGUGAGACGUACCCAGAAGCAAUGCAGUUACCUGGGCAAAGAGUCCCAAAGACCAAGGACGUAGGAAAUUUCGAGAAACGGAAAUGGAAACUGGAGUGGCGCGUCAAUCAGCACUGACGGAAACUAAUAAAAAUGGAAAAAACCAAACUAAUUCGUUUCA
This is a long non-coding RNA of Bombus terrestris (buff-tailed bumblebee), 2660 nucleotides long. RefSeq lists it as uncharacterized. Lineage: Eukaryota; Metazoa; Arthropoda; Insecta; Hymenoptera; Apidae. The record is from RefSeq and is a predicted model, not a curated record. The transcript has 2 exons.